Non-coding RNA from Lolium perenne, 1792 nucleotides. NCBI's taxonomy places the organism in Eukaryota, Viridiplantae, Streptophyta, Magnoliopsida, Poales, Poaceae. The record is from RefSeq and is a predicted model, not a curated record.
UUCCUUCUUUUUCUCCAUUUUCUUUCUCGUGAUUCCUUCAUAAUUCCCUAGUUCUACCAUAUUUGUGACAAACUAUUAUAUUGCAUUCAGUUUUCUUUGCUGCAGAUCUAUUAAUAUUUUCUGAAAAUCAGUAUUAUUCAUGGAGAGUUAAUUUCUCAUUAAAUUAAAAUGUAUAUACACAUAAAAGCAUGAGACAGAUUUCCAGUAUUCAGGUGCACCUCAAACAUGGUUUUUGUAUAUGAGCGAAGUUAACAACAUUUUAAAUGGAUUCAGAUCCCUUGUCUAAGGAAGAAUUUAAACUGUUGGACACAAAAAGGAACUUGAAAGUUGGUGAUGUAAACCAGUGCAGUCUAACAAAUUAAUGAAGCCAUUAAUAAUAAAAGGAAGUGACCACCAUAGCCAUGGUGUUAUUGUCUUGAGUAGGCGAGAGAUUAGUCAGUAUGUACCACUCCGUUUUAAAAUGUAGGGCAUAUUUGACUAUACAAUUCCACGCUUUGACCAAUACUUCAUCUAUUGUGGGCUAUGUUACACAAAAGUGGCAGCACUGGAUUUUUAUUCAAAAGCACUCUCUUAAUGACUUUGUAACUAUCAUGGUUUUAAAGGCGCCAAGGCGUCCUAAGGCGAGGGGGGGGGGCUUCGACGCUUAGGCGACGCCUACGCGGACGCUUUGGACGCCUACGCGCCUAAGGUGGGCGUUUUUCUAAGGCGGAGGGGGAGCGAUUGGACGCUUAGGCGACGCCUUUAAAACCACGGUAACUAUUAAUAACAUCUUGUAUGAGAAGUUUGUAGUCAAAUUUCAAAUUUGGAUAAUCAAAAACACCCUAUAUUUUGAAAUGGAAUGAGUAUGUCUAACCACAAAUGGUAAUAGAGAUAAGAGAUAAAGAGAGAGAGAUAAGAGAUAAAGAGAGAGAGAGAUUACAUUGUUUAUCCAACAUGCACUAUGUAUACUAGAUGACACCCCGCGCGUUGCAGCGGAAUUGAUAACAAACACUUUACUCACAAAAAGAGUUAAAAUAAACAAAAAUGGGAUCCAGUUUUAUUCAUAGCCAAUGAUUCCCAAGUCUGGGCAAAAGGGUAUGAUAUUAUGUUGAGUAAAGUAAGGACCUUAUUUUUCAUCAAGUAUUGACAAAAGUUUACACGAUAGGUAAUACUAUUCUUGUGUGGAGAAAUGCUGGAGCACAUCAAGAAGUUAAACAAAUAUAUUUUUAGAGCUCAAAUAAUUCUUCGAAACUCAUUUGACGGUUACAACUAUAUUGAUGGUACAGCAAAAUUUGCAUGCUACCAUUUCCAAUGAUAAGGACCAAGUUAGUUAUUUGGUUCCAUUUCUAGCAGCCUAGCACCAUGCGGAGUUUUUUUUGGUUUGUAAUGGUAGUUACAAAUUGAGCCUAACACAAAUUACCGGACUCUUAUAUACCAACGUACAAUGCAUGCAGAAGUUUCUAAGCCAGAUGAACUCUGCAGACGUGUCCUCAGCUCGGCAUAUAUACUGUCAAUAGCAAAGUAGACCUGCAUGAAGGCCACUGAAAUUGUGUUUCCAUCUUUCUCCUGAAAUUCAGACUGAAGGCAAAAUAAAAUAUCUGGCAGACCAAUCCUUAAAACUUACCUAGAAGUGAAAAGAAGGAAAUACCGGCGAGAGGGGGCUCACCUGUGCGCAGUGAAUUGGAUGACCACUACAUGCAGGCAGAGAGCCGAACAGCACACCAAAUCAAGAAGAGUUCUACAGGUCAACCCAUAAAUCGUGGUGACAAUACAGAUGGUGGUGACAAUACAGAUGGGGCAGCGCAUAAAACCU